UGGACCCUGCUUUCAUUUGGUGCAUAGAUUCAUGAACAUUUCUAGCACCAUUUGAAAUCAGUUUCCA
Lingula anatina is the source of this 67-nucleotide non-coding RNA. Lineage: Eukaryota; Metazoa; Brachiopoda; Lingulata; Lingulida; Lingulidae. The record is from Rfam.